UCCCUGGUGGCUCAGAUGGUAAAGCGUCUGCGUACAAUGCAGGAGACCUAGGUUCAAUCCCUGGGUCAGGGAA
Non-coding RNA from Bos taurus (domestic cattle), 73 nucleotides. NCBI's taxonomy places the organism in Eukaryota, Metazoa, Chordata, Mammalia, Artiodactyla, Bovidae. The record is from Rfam.